UACGUAGGUGACAAGCGUUGUCCGGAUUUACUGGGCGUAAAGAGCGCGCAGGCGGUCGAUCAAGUCGAGUGUGAAAGCCCCCGGCUCAACUGGGGAGGGUCAUUCGAUACUGAUCGACUCGAAGGCAGGAGAGGGUAGUGGAAUUCCUGGUGUAGCGGUGAAAUGCGCAGAUAUCUGGAGGAACACCGGUGGCGAAGGCGGCAUCCUGGACCAUUACUGACACUGAAAAGCGAAAGCCAGGGGAGCAAACGGG
Molecule: ribosomal RNA, 253 nt
Filed under: uncultured bacterium
Lineage: Bacteria
Description: partial 16S ribosomal RNA
Rfam family: Bacterial small subunit ribosomal RNA
Source: RNAcentral